This 497-nucleotide ribosomal RNA is filed under the name uncultured bacterium. Its description in RNAcentral is "partial 16S ribosomal RNA". It matches the Rfam family "Bacterial small subunit ribosomal RNA", at positions 28 to 507 of the family's 1533-position model. The record is from RNAcentral.
GAUGAACGCUGGCGGCGUGCCUAAUACAUGCAAGUCGAGCGAACGGACGAGAAGCUUGCUUCUUUGAUGUUAGCGGCGGACGGGUGAGUAACACGUGGAUACCCUACCUAUAAGACUGGGAUAACUUCGGGAAACCGGAGCUAAUACCGGAUAAUAUUUUGAACCGCAGGGUUCAAAAGUGAAAGACGGUCUUGCUGUCACUAAUAGCUGGAUCUGCGCUGCAUUAGCUAGUUGGUAAGGUAACGGCUUACCAAGGCGACCAGGCAUAGCCGACCUGUGAGGGUGAUCGGCCACACGGGAACUGAGACACGGUCCAGACUCCUACGGGAGGCAGCAGUAGGGAAUCUUCCGCAACGGGCGGAAGCCUGGCGGAGCAGCGCCGCGUGAGUUGUGGAGGUCUUCGGAUCGUAAAACUCUGUUAUUAGGGAAGAACAUAUGUGUAAGGAACUGUGCACAUCUUGACGGUACCUAAUCAGAAAGCCACGGCUAACUACGUG